RNAcentral lists this ribosomal RNA (397 nucleotides) under uncultured bacterium. Its description in RNAcentral is "bacterial SSU rRNA". It matches the Rfam family "Bacterial small subunit ribosomal RNA", at positions 362 to 757 of the family's 1533-position model. The record is from RNAcentral.
CUCUGGACAGGGCGCAGCCUGUCCGCAAUGCCGCGUGAGUGAAGAAGGCCUUCGGGUCGUAAAGCUCUUUUGUCAGGGAAGAAACGGUGAGGGCUAAUAUCCUUUGCUAAUGACGGUACCUGAAGAAUAAGCACCGGCUAACUACGUGCCAGCAGCCGCGGAAAAUACGUAGGGUGCAAGCGUCAAUCGGAAUUACUGGGCGUAAAGCGUGCGCAGGCGGUUUUGUAAGUCUGAUGUGAAAUCCCCGGGCUCAACCUGGGAAUUGCAUUGGAGACUGCAAGGCUAGAAUCUGGCAGAGGGGGUAGAAUUCCACGUGUAACAAUUAAAUUCGUAGAUUGUUGGAGGAACACCAAAAACAAUGCAGCCCCCUGGGUCCCCAUUGACGCUCAUGCACGAC